Molecule: ribosomal RNA, 465 nt
Filed under: Vreelandella stevensii
Lineage: Bacteria; Pseudomonadati; Pseudomonadota; Gammaproteobacteria; Oceanospirillales; Halomonadaceae
Description: partial 16S ribosomal RNA
Rfam family: Bacterial small subunit ribosomal RNA
Source: RNAcentral
CCUACGGGGGGCAGCAGUGGGGAAUAUUGGACAAUGGGGGCAACCCUGAUCCAGCCAUGCCGCGUGUGUGAAGAAGGCCCUCGGGUUGUAAAGCACUUUCAGUGAGGAAGAACGCCUGGUGGUUAAUACCCAUCAGGAAAGACAUCACUCACAGAAGAAGCACCGGCUAACUCCGUGCCAGCAGCCGCGGUAAUACGGAGGGUGCGAGCGUUAAUCGGAAUUACUGGGCGUAAAGCGCGCGUAGGUGGCUUGAUAAGCCGGUUGUGAAAGCCCCGGGCUCAACCUGGGAACGGCAUCCGGAACUGUCAAGCUAGAGUGCAGGAGAGGAAGGUAGAAUUCCCGGUGUAGCGGUGAAAUGCGUAGAGAUCGGGAGGAAUACCAGUGGCGAAGGCGGCCUUCUGGACUGACACUGACACUGAGGUGCGAAAGCGUGGGUAGCAAACAGGAUUAGAUACCCUUGUAAUC